CCUACGGGAGGCAGCAGUGAGGAAUAUUGGUCAAUGGCCGUAAGGCUGAACCAGCCAAGUCGCGUGAAGGAAGAAGGAUCUAUGGUUUGUAAACUUCUUUUAUAGGGGAAUAAAGGGAUCCACGUGUGGAUAUUUGCAUGUACCCUAUGAAUAAGCAUCGGCUAACUCCGUGCCAGCAGCCGCGGUAAUACGGAGGAUGCGAGCGUUAUCCGGAUUUAUUGGGUUUAAAGGGUACGUAGGUUUUUUUUUAAGUCAGCGGUGAAAGUUUGUGGCUCAACCAUAAAAUUGCCGUUGAAACUGGAAGCCUUUCUUGUGUUUGAGGUAGGCGUAAUGCGUUGUGUAGCGGUUACCUGCAUAGAUAUCACGC
RNAcentral lists this ribosomal RNA (367 nucleotides) under uncultured bacterium. Its description in RNAcentral is "partial 16S ribosomal RNA". It matches the Rfam family "Bacterial small subunit ribosomal RNA", at positions 338 to 702 of the family's 1533-position model. The record is from RNAcentral.